CCUACGGGCGGCAGCAGUGGGGAAUAUUGGACAAUGGGGGCAACCCUGAUCCAGCCAUGCCGCGUGUGUGAAGAAGGCCCUCGGGUUGUAAAGCUCUUUCAGUGAGGAAGAACGCCUGGUGGUUAAUACCCAUCAGGAAAGACAUCACUCACAGAAGAAGCACCGGCUAACUCCGUGCCAGCAGCCGCGGUAAUACGGAGGGUGCGAGCGUUAAUCGGAAUUACUGGGCGUAAAGCGCGCGUAGGUGGCUUGAUAAGCCGGUUGUGAAAGCCCCGGGCUCAACCUGGGAACGGCAUCCGGAACUGUCAAGCUAGAGUGCAGGAGAGGAAGGUAGAAUUCCCGGUGUAGCGGUGAAAUGCGUAGAGAUCGGGAGGAAUACCAGUGGCGAAGGCGGCCUUCUGGACUGACACUGACACUGAGGUGCGAAAGCGUGGGUAGCAAACAGGAUUAGAUACCCCAGUAGUC
This 465-nucleotide ribosomal RNA is filed under the name Vreelandella stevensii. Its description in RNAcentral is "partial 16S ribosomal RNA". It matches the Rfam family "Bacterial small subunit ribosomal RNA", at positions 338 to 795 of the family's 1533-position model. Lineage: Bacteria; Pseudomonadati; Pseudomonadota; Gammaproteobacteria; Oceanospirillales; Halomonadaceae. The record is from RNAcentral.